Molecule: non-coding RNA, 110 nt
Organism: Pelobates cultripes (western spadefoot toad)
Lineage: Eukaryota; Metazoa; Chordata; Amphibia; Anura; Pelobatidae
Source: the annotation of a GenBank genome assembly
AGCUUAUUGUCCCUGACCACAAAUAAAUAUAUACAUAUAUAUACAUACAUAUAUAUAUAUAUAUAUAUAUAUAUAUAUAUAUAUUUAUUUGUGGUCAGGGACAAUAAGCC